GACAGAGGUGCCGAGCGUUAGGCGGAAUCACUGGGCUUAAAGCGUGUGUAGGCGGAUCGUUAAGUGCCUUGUGAAAUCCCACGGCUCAACCGUGGAACUGCUUGGCAUACUGGCGAUCUUGAGCCACUUAGGGGCAACCGGAACAAACGGUGGAGCGGUGAAAUGCGUAGAGAUCGGAAAGAACACCAACGGCGAAAGCACUCUGCUGGGCCGACACUGACACUGAGAGACGAAAGCUAGGGGAGCGAAUGGG
This 253-nucleotide ribosomal RNA is filed under the name uncultured bacterium. Its description in RNAcentral is "partial 16S ribosomal RNA". It matches the Rfam family "Bacterial small subunit ribosomal RNA", at positions 524 to 776 of the family's 1533-position model. The record is from RNAcentral.